Molecule: ribosomal RNA, 468 nt
Filed under: uncultured bacterium
Lineage: Bacteria
Description: partial 16S ribosomal RNA
Rfam family: Bacterial small subunit ribosomal RNA
Source: RNAcentral
GACGAACGCUGGCGGCGUGCUUAACACAUGCAAGUCGAACGGAAAGGCCCUGCUUUUGUGGGGUGCUCGAGUGGCGAACGGGUGAGUAACACGUGAGUAACCUGCCCUUGACUUUGGGAUAACUUCAGGAAACUGGGGCUAAUACCGGAUAGCAGCUCCUGCUGCAUGGUGGGGGUUGGAAAGUUUCGGCGGUUGGGGAUGGACUCGCGGCUUAUCAGCUUGUUGGUGGGGUAGUGGCUUACCAAGGCUUUGACGGGUAGCCGGCCUGAGAGGGUGACCGGCGACAUUGCGCCUGAGAGACGGACCAGAGUCCAACGGGAGGCAGCAGGGGGGAAUAUUACACAAUGGGCCGAAGCGUGAGACAGAAACGCCGGGUGCGGGAUGACGGCCUUCGGGUUGUAAACCGCUUUCGCCUGUGACGAAGCGUGAGUGACGGUAAUGGGUAAAGAAGCACCGGCUAACUACGUG